This is a long non-coding RNA of Brachypodium distachyon (stiff brome), 478 nucleotides long. RefSeq lists it as uncharacterized. The transcript is spliced from 2 exons. Lineage: Eukaryota; Viridiplantae; Streptophyta; Magnoliopsida; Poales; Poaceae. The record is from RefSeq and is a predicted model, not a curated record.
UACGCCAACUGAUCAAACGUAGAUAGCCCAGUUAAGUUAAUUAAUAUAUUUUGUUACGGAUGGAAAGCGUGUGAUGAGGCUACAUAGCAGGACAGGCCUCCAUGUCCAAGCUAGCUUUGUCACCUACUCCACCACACAUUCUGCAGUAGGAAAAUGGGUGUGCAUACAUACAAAACGCCCGCAGAGGUUGUUUCUGUGGUUAUACGCGCCUACAAAUCUCACUCUUGUGUGCUUCUGCUCGCCCGCGCGGUUUACUGCUGCCAUAUUGAGGAAAAUGACAGCAGCUAGGGGAUGGCGAUCGUCAAUUUGUCAUGGCCUGUGUGGAAUGCUGGAUGGAUGGUUAGGUGUCGUGUUGCUCACAUUGCCACUGUUCAAGACAUUCCACGCAGCUCUGCGCUUCCUCCCUUGUUGCUUUCCUGUUAUCUCACUCGAUCAAUCAGUGGAAAGCAAUGAUAUAUACAUCCAAGGUUGUCCUCUC